UUGUAAAAUAUAAAUUGGAAAUUGUAAAUUAACUAUUUAGUUGUCUCAGUUAUAGCACAUUACUGUAUUCAGUUCGCGUUAAAUAACCAUCGUUUCCUGUUUAAUCCAUUCUAAAUAAAUAAGAAAAUC
Long non-coding RNA from Bombus impatiens (common eastern bumble bee), 129 nucleotides. RefSeq lists it as uncharacterized. The transcript has 3 exons. The record is from RefSeq and is a predicted model, not a curated record. Lineage: Eukaryota; Metazoa; Arthropoda; Insecta; Hymenoptera; Apidae.